Molecule: ribosomal RNA, 467 nt
Filed under: uncultured bacterium
Lineage: Bacteria
Description: partial 16S ribosomal RNA
Rfam family: Bacterial small subunit ribosomal RNA
Source: RNAcentral
GAUGAACGCUGGCGGCGUGCUUAACACAUGCAAGUCGAACGGAAAGGCCCAAGCUUGCUUGGGUACUCGAGUGGCGAACGGGUGAGUAACACGUGGGUGAUCUGCCCUGCACUUCGGGAUAAGCCUGGGAAACUGGGUCUAAUACCGGAUAGGACCACAUUUUGGAUGGUGUGGUGGAAAGUUUUUCGGUGUGGGAUGAGCUCGCGGCCUAUCAGCUUGUUGGUGGGGUAAUGGCCUACCAGGGCGUCGACGGGUAGCCGGCCUGAGAGGGUGUACGGCCACAUUGGGACUGAGAUACGGCCCAGACUCCUACGGGAGGCAGCAGUGGGGAAUAUUGCACAAUGGGCGCAAGCCUGAUGCAGCGACGCCGCGUGGGGGAUGACGGCCUUCGGGUUGUAAACUCCUUUCGCUAGGGACGAAGCGUUUUUGUGACGGUACCUGGAGAAGAAGCACCGGCUAACUACGUG